AUUAGCGCGGCGUUGUCACGUUUCGAGCAUAAAACUAAUGAAAGGGAAGAUGUUUUGGGCCUAAAGGUAAGAGAAUUUCAUAAUUAAUGAACUCAUUUUCAUUCGUUCAAUUUACUAAGUUUCUUAUUUAUUGAGUUUCGCUCGGAAAUUCCAUUGAUAAACGCGUGUGCGAUUAAAAUUGAAAAGAGUGAGCAGUAAUAGGAUGAAUCAUUAUUUAUUAGGCGUCCUGGCACAGAAUCCCCUCAAGCACAAGAUAGGUCACGAGAUAAUUAACAAAAAAAACAUGGAUAAUUAAUAGACAAUAAAAAUAUUAUGAAAAAUAAAAGAGAGAAAAAAUGUGUACAUACAUAUAUAUAUAGAUGUAGAUUUGGGACAUUCCAAUAAAAGACCAUGUCUAUUGUAUU
RNAcentral lists this unclassified non-coding RNA (404 nucleotides) under Pogonomyrmex barbatus (red harvester ant). RNAcentral describes it as "basic-leucine zipper transcription factor A, transcript variant X2". The record is from RNAcentral. Lineage: Eukaryota; Metazoa; Arthropoda; Insecta; Hymenoptera; Formicidae.